This 386-nucleotide ribosomal RNA is filed under the name uncultured bacterium. RNAcentral describes it as "bacterial SSU rRNA". It matches the Rfam family "Bacterial small subunit ribosomal RNA", at positions 29 to 412 of the family's 1533-position model. The record is from RNAcentral.
AUUGAACGCUGGCGGCGUGCUUAACACAUGCAAGUCGAGCGGUAACAGGCGUAGCAAUACGUGCUGACGAGCGGCGAACGGGUGCGUAAUACAUCGGAAUCUGCCUCGUAGUGGGGAAUAACCCGGCGAAAGCCGGGCUAAUGCCGCAUACGAUCCACGGAUGAAAGCGGGGGACCUUCGGGCCGUCGCGCUAUGAGAUGAGCCGAUGUCGGAUUAGCUAGNGGUGAGGUAACGGCUCACCAAGGCGACGAUCCGUAGCUGGUCUGAGAGGACGGCCAGCCACACUGGGACUGAGACACGGCCCAGACUCCUACGGGAGGCAGCAGUGGGGAAUAUUAGGACAAGUGGGGAAACCCUGAUCCAGCGACCGCCGCGUGUGUGAAGAA